RNAcentral lists this long non-coding RNA (1867 nucleotides) under Equus caballus (horse). Its description in RNAcentral is "lncRNA (ENSECAG00000047711.1)". The record is from RNAcentral. Lineage: Eukaryota; Metazoa; Chordata; Mammalia; Perissodactyla; Equidae.
AGAUCACUUCCUAUUUGAAAUGUCUGUGCUUCUAUUAGUGCUACAAGAGUGGGUCCCUGCACCCUGGUAAGACCAUCCUCUCAAGGAAUCACUGAGAAGAACCACAAAGGCAGAGAAGUGAGUGGGGGUUUUGGAGAAUGGCAGCUACUCUGAUGUGGCUGGAGAAUUGGGCUGAAGAAAGGUGAUACAGGAGGUGAGAACGGAGGAGCAGGGUGGGGCUUGGUCUGAAAAUCAUCACUCACAGUGUGAGGGGUAAAGAGUUGCAGCCAAAGAUGGACCAGAAGUAUUCGAUCUCAUGUGUAAGACAAAUGAAGUCUACAAUAUUGUGCGUAGUGACAUCAUCCAAUGUUUUUAUGAGGCAGUGGAUUUUGACUCUAGCUGCACAUGCUCCGCUAUCUGUUUUGAAAUAGAAGUGCCUGGGUGCCACCUCUAAAGACUCUGGUUCAGUAGAACAGGGGAGGCACUGACCUCAGGAUUAUUUUUAAUCUCCAUGGUGACUCAGGUGCGCGAUGAAAAUCAUUCGUAUGGUGCUUUACAGUUUACACACUUUUCAACGAUAUCCUUCGCUCCUCAGAGUCAAAGUAGAAUUAUCACCAUUUCGCAUGUGAGAAAUUUGAGUCUCAGAGAAAUUACAUCCAUCCAAAUGACAAGUGGCAGCAAGGAGACUCUAAGCCGAUUUCCUGAGCCCAGGUCCAGUGCUUUUUCACGUAGCUCAGCCGCCUAAAAUGAAAACAGGAGUAAGGUGCAUAAGAAUUCAUUCCCCAAUCCAAGAAAAUACUAGAACCAAGCAUGAUUUGAGGUUGGCAAAAGGGUAAAUUUAGGCCCAAUGAAAAAGCACUUCUUUGAAUAUAUUUAAUACAUUCGUGGACCUUUUAACCCAAAGACGUGGUAGAAGAGGAUGAUCAAAUGUUCAAAUGAGAUUUCAAUACAUUUAUAGAUGAAGGAUCCACUCUCUUAGAUAUUGAGAGAAGCACUGUAUCUCCUCAUGUAUUUGUCAGAGACCAAAUGCCAGACUGGUUGUAUUAUGUUAAAGGACAGUCUACAAAUUACAGUCAGACAUUCUCACAGUUUAUAGUCUCAUCUGCCUCAACCUUCGACUGAAAAUUCGAUUAUCCGUGCCCUCAGAAGGAAGGAACAGCACAGAUAAGUGAAGUUCCCACGAAUCAGCUACAAAAUAUGAGGAUGUGGUGAUGAUCCCAUGACCGCAGAAGGACUGGGGCUCCUGGGUGACAUCAGCCCACCAAAAGGUGAGGAAAUCGGAUGCAACCUAAUAAGCAAGGAAGUGAGAAGGCUUGCCCACUAUUGGAUGGCUUCAGCCUAUGGAGCUGCGUCUCAGUGGCUGCAGAGCGGUGUGGCUCACAUCAUUAGCAGCAGUCCCAGCGCACCUGCACGAAGAUGGCGCCUCUGAGCUGCUGAGUCAGGGGGCAUCUGCUCCUCACAUCCACAUGCAGGAUGUUCAUCGGGAGCUGGGAGCAGUUCCCCUGCGUGGGGAAUCCUGCCUCGCUUAGUCACCCUGAUAUUGCAUAACAGACGUGGCAUUUCCAACAGCAUGGCACGCUAAUUGUCAAAAAAAUUAAUAAGAGCAAGAAUGUUGGCAGCCAGAUGGCUGUUAAAUAAUUAAACUUCACUGCCUGUUACAAAAGCCAGAGUUCAUAGAAGCUGCUGCCUUAAAUUUUGUGGGGUGCUAAGCACUAAGGAAACACAUGGCGUUACACAUAUAUCGCCCUUAAAUACAACCCCAAAUGAGGGCAACGGAGGUGGUUCAGAGGAUUGGGUGCCAAACCUUUAAUUCUCUCACCUUAACACUGGGAAACCACCCGUGAAGCAUGCAGCUUGGCUGGCACCAGUUAAACCUGCCUGAGCCCCG